UUGGCUUGCUGAUUUGGAGAAUGUCUGGUUAAUGGAUAUUUAUGUACUGUUGAAGGGGACACUCCUCUGGUACACUAUUGCAUGCCUGGAAUUCCAUGGUAUUCUUUGUGAUGUCACUAGUGUUAUGGAAACAGAAGCUGCCCUUGUGGUAUUUUGUUAAUGCUUAUUGUUUUAGACACAGACAUGUUUUCUAGGAUUAUCGAGUUAUUUACAGGAAAAACGGAGUGCAUGGAGAGAUGAGAGAGAGAAAAAAUGAUAUUAGGACUUCUUUCUUGUUAUAAAUGUGCAAAAUAAAUAAUCUGGUGUAAAGCAGAGAGAGUAAGCCCUGAGCCAGUACUGGGGAACUUCCUGGAGAAGCUGUGCUUGGGUCAGACCUUCUAGGAGCAGGACUUAUGGUCUGAAACAUCUGGACUUUUAAAGAAGGGACCAAGCGUCAAGAAUAUCUGAUGAAUAUUUGGCAGACAGCCAGAAAUUGACAAGCAUGCAGUUAGUUUGCUAUGAGUUCCUUAAUUUCACUCUGAAUGAGAAAGAUAUCCAAUAGGAGCCACACAGAUAAAUCUUCUACUCUCAGGGUAGAGUAUAGGACUUCAUCUACAGACGAUUAUUGUACAAGUCAUUGACAUGUUGUGACAAGGAGAGAGAGACGGAUACUCCCCUGGAAAUGUAUCAAGAUUUCAGACUCAUUUUUCUUGAACAUACAUGAUUAGGGCUUGGUUGUCCUAAGAACUAUGGACUACAGAACUUACCUGCAUAUGUCUAGCAAUCAUCGUUGGAGGCAGGAGAGUAGCUAAUAGGUCCAACUUGAAAAGAGCUUUCUUACUCUCUCAGUGCUUCAAAGUGUCUGUAGAUUUCCCCUUUCCUCAUGCUUUGUUGGGGGACUCAGAAUGGUCUCUCCUGUGACUGGGCCAUUAAUAUGCAUGUUCCCUUGUGUUUAUCUACAGGGUCUGCUGGGAAGGCAUCAUGCCAACCUUCCACCAUCAAUGAGCAUGUUCAGCAGAUUAAGAAGUAGAAGAAACUGACUAUUGAGCUCAAGAAGAAAACCUAAAAGCAGAAGCUGUGUUUGAAUAACAGACGAUAUAUGGCAAGCAGUGUGUGAGCUCUCAUCCUGGAUUUUAAUAGAGAGAGAUGCAUUUUCUGUCCUCAGAGGAACACAGAAAGUUGGUCAGCUACAGAAGCACAGUAACUUAAACUUAGAUAAGUAAACUUUUGUUUUUUUAUUUAUUUUAAAGAUUUAUUUUAUUUGAUUUUUAUGAGUAUACUGUACCUGUCAGACUCACCAGACUCACCUGUCAUUAUGAAUGGUUGGAUGCCACGAUGAGUACACUUGGAAUUGAACUCAUGACAUUUGGAAAGACAGGCAGUGUUCUUAAAUGCUGAAUAAACUUCCUAGUCUAAACUACUACUACUACUACUACUACUACUACUACUACUACUACUACUACUACUACUACUUAUUAUUAUUAUUAUUAUUAUUAUUAUUAUUAUUAUUAUUAUUAUUACUAUUAUUGUUAAGCAACCCUAGAUAGAUCAAAACUUACCCUCCUCCAAUGCUCUUCCCCCUUCCCUGUUUGGAGAAGAUCUUAGAAUAAAGAAAGUCACCAUAAUAUCUGCCCCUCGACCUCAGCAUUAAAAAAUGAAAAAUUUUACUUUUUCUUAGCUAUGGAGAUUUUCUUGUUGACUGGGCUCAUAGCUUCAGACCUGAAGUCAGGGAUAUUAUGGACAAUGGAGAUCCAUUUGAAAGAAGCUGCUUAACUUGGAGGAACAGGGAAACAGUGAGCAAGAGUAAGAUGUUUGUCCACCACCUGAUCCCUUGCUGAGAACAAAGUCUCCUCUUCACAGCCUGAAAACUGGGCAGGCUGGAAGCCAAUAGCAAUGUACAUGAAGAAAGUACAUCAGUAGUGAGAAAGAAAAUUGCUGCACUUCUUCAAUAUUCAUUUCCUUAGAUUUUUAGGUGCUGAGGACAAAGAGAAGACACACAGAAGGACUGAGACAGAGGGUCUGAACUGGAAGGACAGAGACAGAUGGACAGAGCAGGAGAGGGGAUGACCUGAAAAGACCAGUUUGAGAUAAGGAGAACAAAGGUAAGUAGAACUAAGACAAAAGGAUCUGGGCUGAGAAGUAAUGUAGAGAGGAAUAACUUAUGUAACAUAAGAGAGCAAUCUAGAGAAUGCAGGUGAAAAGAGGACAAAAGAAGAAGCUGGAAAGAAUAGAAGGUGCAGGCAGGUUUCUCCUUAUCUUGGGACAGAAAAGGACAUUUCUUAAUAGCAAUGCAAAUUAGUCUUGUUAAAAGGAACAGGCCUUUUCUUUUACAAACUUGGGUUUAAAUCACUUAGCAUUAAAAGGGUAGAAGCGAUUUCUUUCUCUCUGUAAUAAAGAUUGGAGUUCAUCUUUCUGUACUGGUCCUUGGUCUUUUGCACCAUAUGCAUAUGUAAGUAUUGAUGUCUGUGUAAGUAUGCAAUUAUGAGAAUGUAUGCAUGUGUGUGUGUGAGUGUGUGUGUGUGUGUGUGUUUGUGUAAGAAUGUAAUUGUGACUCUGCUCCCAGACCCCGUGAGAGAGAGACCCAACCGCCUGGUCAGGUGGGCACUCCUGAGGCUGCAGAGCUGAAGAGACCACCAACACUGCCCACCCCUGCCCACAUCCCUGGCCCAAGAGGAAAUUGUAUAAGGCCUCUGGGCUCCCGUGAGGGAGGGCCCAGGAGCGGCAGGACCCCUGCCUGAGACACCGCCAGAACCUGAAGGAAACAGACUGGAUAAACAGUUCUCUUCACCCGAAACCUGUGGGAGGGAGAGCUAAACGUUCAGAUAGGCAGACAAGCCUGGGAAACCAGAAUAGACUGCUCUCUGCACAUACAUCUCGGAAGCAAGAGGUAAAAACAAAAGGCCAUCUGGAACCCUGAUGCACUGAAGCUCCCGGAAAGGGUGGCGUAGAUCUUCCUGGUUGCUGCCGUCACAGAGAGCCCGUGGGCAGCACCCUGUGAGUGAACUUGAGCCUCAGGACCACAGGUAAGACAAACUUUUCUGCUGCAAGUGACCUGCCUGGUGAACUCAAGACACAGGCCCACAUGAACAGCUGUAGACAUGUACAGAGGAAAAACUACAUGCCCAAAAGCAGAACACUCUGUCACCAUAACUGACUGAAAGAGAGGAAAACAGGUCUACAGCACUCCUGACACACAGGCUUAUAGGACAGUCUAGCCACUGUCAGAAAUAGCAGAACAAAGUAACACUAGAGAUAAUCUGAUGCCGAGAGGCAAGCACAAGAACCCAAGCAACAGAAACAAAGACUACAUGGCAUGAUCGGAGUCCAAUUCUCCCACCAAAAGAAAAACAUGGAAAAUCCAAACACACCAGAAAAGCAAGAUCUAGUUUCAAAAUCAUAUUUGAUCAUGAUGCUGGAAGACUUCAAGAAAGACGUAAAGAACUCCCUUAGAGAAACACAGGAAAACAUUAAUAAACAAGUAGAAGCCUACAGAAAGGAAUCACAAAAAUCCCUGAAAGAAUUCCAGGAAAACAUAAAUAAACAAGUAGAUGCCCAUAGAGAGGAUACAAAAAUUCCUGAAAGAGUUCCAGGAAAGCACAAUCAAACAGUUGAAGGAAUUAAAAAUGGAAAUAGAAGCAAUCAAGGAAGAACACAUGGAAAAAAACCCUGGAUAUAGAAAACAAAAAGAAGAGACAAGGAGCUGUAGAUACAACCUUCACCAACAGAAUACAAGAGAUGGAAGAGAGAAUCUCAGGAGCAGAAGAUUCCAUAUAAAUCAUUGACUCAACUGUCAAAGAUAAGGUAAAGCAGAAAAAGCUACUGGUCCAAAACAUACAGGAAAUCCAGGACUCAAUGAGAAGACCAAACCUAAGGAUAAUAGGUAUAGAAGAGAGUGAAGACUCCCAGCUCAAAGGACCAGUAAAUAUCUUCAAAAAAUCAUAGAAGAAAACUUCCCUAACCUAAAAAAAGAGAUAUGCAUAGACAUACAAAAAGCCUACAGAACUCCAAAUAGAUUGGACCAGAAAAGAAACACCUCCUGUCACAUAAUUGUCAAAACACCAAACGCACAAAAUAAAGAAAUAAUAUUAAAAGCAGUAAGGGAAAAAAGUCAAGUAACAUAUAAAGGCAGACCUAUCAGAAUCACACCAGACUUCUUGCCAGAAACUAUGAAGGCCAGAAGAUCCUGGACUGAUGUCAUACAGACCCUAAGAGAACACAAAUGCCAGCCCAGGUUACUGUAUACUGCAAAACUCUCAAUUAUCAUAGAUGGAGAAACCAAGAUAUUCCAUGACAAAACCAAAUUUACACAAUAUCUUUCUACAAAUCCAGCAGUACAAAGGAUAUUAAAUGGUAAAGCCCAACAUAAGGGGGCAAGCUAUACGCUAGAAGAAGCAAGAAACUAAUCGUCUUGGCAACAAAACAAAGAGAAUGAAAGCACACAAACAUAACCUCACAUCCAAAAAUGAAUAUAAAGGGAAGCAAUAAUCACUAUUCCUUAAUAUCUCUCAACAUCAAUGGCCUCAACUCCCCAAUAAAAAGAAAUAGAUUAACAAACUGGAUACGCAACGAGGACCCUGCAUUCUGCUGCCUACAGGAAACACACCUCAGAGACAAAGACAGACAUUACCUCAGAGUGAAAGGCUGGAAAACAACUUUCCAAGAAAAUGGUCAGAAGAAGCAAGCUGGAGUAGCCAUUCUAAUAUCAAAUAUAAUCAAUUUUCAACUAAAAGUCAUGAAAUAAGAUAAGGAAGGACAUCAUAUUCAUCAACAGGAAU
Non-coding RNA from Rattus norvegicus (Norway rat), 4754 nucleotides. NCBI's taxonomy places the organism in Eukaryota, Metazoa, Chordata, Mammalia, Rodentia, Muridae. The record is from RefSeq and is a predicted model, not a curated record.